AAGAGACUAGAACACCCAAGGCCGCUUUCCUUUUAUGGAGUUGUUUUUCUGCUAAUGCAGCACUGUCCUCACAACCCCCUCCUGUAAGUUUUAGAGAAUAUAUACCCAUCCUCACAGCAAAUAUUUGGAAUCUCUUGAUGUGAGCUGCGUUGAGAGUUUGUCUCUGUCUCAAUAAAAGUUCACUGAUUCCCCAUCUGCAGCAGGUGUCCGGUUGUCUUCAUUCUCCGCCAGCCUGGUUAAGUCAAUUCCUCCUUAACAUCUAAAAGAACCUAUUUAAUGAAGGAAGACGGGUUCACUUUGUGUUUAAUAUUAUUCUAUUGCUGUUGUUGUUUUUUUUGUAUCCUUCAAUUGGCGUCACGAACAGGAUCCGCUCCAGGUCAAACUGGAACGGGAGGGAGGACAUCGGCCGUGGUCUGAGUGAACGGAGUUUGGACAAAAGCUGUGUACACACAAAAAACAAGUGUCUUCAUACAGGUGUUUUUUCUUAACCUGGAAGCCUGAGUACGGCAGCAGAAGACAGGCCAAGCUUUGGCUAAAAUUCACGGCUGGACACCAGAGUUGUCCUCACCCCUCCCGGUAAAACAAAAAAGAGAGAAUGUAGUUUGAGGCGGGUUUUUCUUGCUGAACCGCUCUGGGUGCUGUGUCCCUGAAUCUCACCGGUGUUAACCUCUGGCGGAAGACAUGGAGAAAAGGAAAAGAUGUUCCUGAGCCGAAGCUGACCUGGACUCCUACCCUCCCCUCUACCAUCGUUGCCCUCUCCGCGACCAUCUUUGACCCUUUGACCCCUGAAGGCCACAGCAGCUGGACUCACAACAACAACUUGAGGAUGUCAACAGUGCUGCAAAAGAGUGAUCUCAUGCAGCAGAGACGGAGAGCACUAAACCUAAAGCCCGUUUCACUACACGGGGGAAAUUCCCAGGCUGCGUCAGCUGACAGAGCUGUGACGAGACGCGCAUUAAGCCCGGAGGAAAAGGGACGGUGAGCAGAAGGAUGCUGACCUCUGAGAAGAGCCGAACAGCAGAGCUGCAGAAGGCCGUGGAGCAAAGUAAGGAAGAUGCAGGCAGCUGCAACAACGGAUGAAAACAGACCCAAAGAGGAGGGGAGGACCCUAGGCCAUGCGUCAGGCCGCUGGUUUACCUAAACUACAGAACAGAAAGGACAGCUGUUACUGCUUUCAUCGGGAACCGAGACUGCUUGCAGCCGACCCCUGGGCAGGGUGGUGCCUGGACUCUUUUCUCCUCAUCUGCAAUGACAGAUAAAGACAAAUGAAAAGACCCGAGGAGUUUUUCGAGCCAGGCUUCGACACGUCUCUGUGUUCCUUUGAUUGUUACUUAUUUUUGUGUGUUGACCCAUUUAAGAUGGGUCAAAAGGGGGAUUUGAAGAAAAUAUAAUCUGAUCAAACAUUAUUCAGCUUUAAAUAUUGUUCAGCUUUAAACAUUAUUCAGCUUUAAAUAUUAUUCAGCUUUAAAUAUUGUUCAGCUUUAAAGUUACUGUGCAACUGUGUAAUAAAAAUGUGCUCACGACUUUGGCCUUGAGAGCGAUAAGAAGCGAUCGCCUCAUCCUGCAGGUGAAAGAUAUCUGCAAGCGAAGAGACUAGAACACCCAAGGCCGCUUUCCUUUUAUGGAGUUGUUUUUCUGCUAAUGCAGCACUGUCCUCACAACCCCCUCCUGUAAGUUUUAGAGAAUAUAUACCCAUCCUCACAGCAAAUAUUUGGAAUCUCUUGAUGUGAGCUGCGUUGAGAGUUUGUCUCUGUCUCAAUAAAAGUUCACUGAUUCCCCAUCUGCAGCAGGUGUCCGGUUGUCUUCAUUCUCCGCCAGCCUGGUUAAGUCAAUUCCUCCUUAACAUCUAAAAGAACCUAUUUAAUGAAGGAAGACGGGUUCACUUUGUGUUUAAUAUUAUUCUAUUGCUGUUGUUGUUUUUUUUGUAUCCUUCAGCAUGUA
Long non-coding RNA from Astatotilapia calliptera (eastern happy), 1941 nucleotides. The record is from Ensembl. Lineage: Eukaryota; Metazoa; Chordata; Actinopteri; Cichliformes; Cichlidae.